UAUGGCCACAUCACAUUGAAGCAUCAGUUCCUGUGUGAUCACUAAAGUUAAGCAACAUCGAGCCUGGUCAGUACUUAGAUGGGUAACUGCUUGAGAAUACCAUGUGUUGUAAG
This is a non-coding RNA of Acanthosepion pharaonis, 113 nucleotides long. NCBI's taxonomy places the organism in Eukaryota, Metazoa, Mollusca, Cephalopoda, Sepiida, Sepiidae. The record is from the annotation of a GenBank genome assembly.